RNAcentral lists this unclassified non-coding RNA (266 nucleotides) under Hevea brasiliensis (rubber tree). The record is from RNAcentral. Lineage: Eukaryota; Viridiplantae; Streptophyta; Magnoliopsida; Malpighiales; Euphorbiaceae.
AUCAAAAGAUAGGAAUUCAUUGUAGGCAAAAAAAAGCCUAAGCCUCGUACAUAAAUACUAGUCAGUCCUGAGAGGCUCUUGGCUUCAAUCAACACAGAGCCCCUCAUGCCUCCAAUCCAUGGUUCAUAAGCUCUGCAUGCACAGAAAAACACAAGAAGAAACCCAUAACUAAAGAAAAUGCAAAUCUAAAGAAACUCUCUUGUAGAAGCCCAAUCUGUCGCAAAUUAACUCAAAAUAAAAGCUAUGCACACCCACCUGAAUACCCG